CGUCAUCAGUGAUGUUUCUCCACAGCGGGCUCAUCAGUACCUGGUGACAGAAGGUCAAUCCAGCUCUGACUUGAGGCUGUUCAAGAAUCAGCUCCACUUGAUCUGGUUCCACCUCUACCACAGGCAGAGAAACACAGGCCUGGACUCUUUGUUGGCCAGACAAAAUCAGAAACGGAAAUCAUUGGUUUUCACAACUGGGUCCAGUUCCACCUGCAAAGGAUAUGAGGCCAGGGAGCAUGAUUUGAUUACAGGAAGUCUCUGGCUGUGUUGCUGAAUCUGCCGAUGCAAGA
Molecule: long non-coding RNA, 290 nt
Organism: Oreochromis niloticus (Nile tilapia)
Lineage: Eukaryota; Metazoa; Chordata; Actinopteri; Cichliformes; Cichlidae
Exons: 3
Source: RefSeq, a predicted model, not a curated record